RNAcentral lists this ribosomal RNA (439 nucleotides) under uncultured bacterium. RNAcentral describes it as "partial 16S ribosomal RNA". It matches the Rfam family "Bacterial small subunit ribosomal RNA", at positions 339 to 795 of the family's 1533-position model. The record is from RNAcentral.
CUACGGGGCGCUGCAGUGAGGAAUAUUGCACAAUGGGGGGAACCCUGAUGCAGCAACGCCGCGUGGAGGAUGACGCAUUUCGGUGUGUAAACUCCUUUUAUAUGUCAAGAAAAUGACGGUAGCAUAUGAAUAAGCACCGGCUAACUCCGUGCCAGCAGCCGCGGUAAUACGGAGGGUGCAAGCGUUACUCGGAAUCACUGGGCGUAAAGGGCGCGUAGGCGGGUUGGAAAGUCAGGUGUGAAAUCCUACAGCUUAACUGGAGAACUGCACUUGAAACUUCUAAUCUAGAGUAUGGGAGGGGAAGACGGAAUUAGUGGUGUAGGGGUAAUAUCCGUAGAUAUCACUAGGAAUACCUAAAGCGAAGGCGAUCUCCUGGAACAUUACUGACGCUAAGGCGUGAAAGCGUGGGGAGCAAACAGGAUUAGAUACCCGAGUAGUC